Clarias gariepinus (North African catfish) is the source of this 4179-nucleotide long non-coding RNA. RefSeq lists it as uncharacterized. The record is from RefSeq and is a predicted model, not a curated record. The transcript is spliced from 6 exons. Lineage: Eukaryota; Metazoa; Chordata; Actinopteri; Siluriformes; Clariidae.
CAAGCCGAGCCACCGAGAGCCUUCCACAGGUGUGUGAAGACAUUGAAGUUUUGCGGCCUGGAGUGUUUACUGUGUCCCGCUUCAUGGAGCUGAGGGAGUUCGUGCGCAAAACCAACCCGGAGCUGUGCAGACGCAGGGCUCGGACGGACUGGAUCAAUGAUCAGAUAGCGGUCUCAGCAUGGACAUUUAAAAGAAAAAAGAAAAGGGAUCGAAAGCUGGAAGGGUUAUACGGUGAUUCCUCACAGCCAUUCUGUGUGGCAGGGAAUCAUAACAAAUGGUAACCAGUCCACACUGCUAAUGCUAUCUCUGAUUAAAAGACCGAGCUCCGUGCCCAACAGCGCACAGCGGCAUGACCAAGAUUUUUGGAGAAUGCAUCAAUUUUCUAACCAAAAACUCCAGAAGUUUUUUCACCAACAAAUGUUCAUCUUUGAGCAGGAGGAAUACAGCAGAUGGCAUUGACUUUGGCUUAGACCUACAUUGCCUACAAGAAGUAGGAGUCAUAACAACCUGAGGAGCACUCUGUCUCACUUUGUAUGCUGCUGUAUGUCUGUAAUGCAGCCCUACAAGAACUUCUUUGGACUACUGCUAGUACCAACAAAGCACCGCAUUUUAAUUUAGAUUUUUAAGGGGAUCUCUUUGCCCACUACCUUUAGGUGUGGCAGAGAUGCUCCCGUUUCUUCCCCACUUAAUGGAGUUCUGGAUGACAUUUACAUCUAUAUGUUGGGACUUUCUACCCAAAUCAUCUGUGCCAGGUUUAAAUAUUGGUGGGUUUGAUUAAUUUUUCAAUUUCAUUUAAAGAAAUGAUAAAAUUAAAAACAAACAUAAGUCUAGUAUAAAUUUAUCUCUCAUAUGCCUUCAGGUUAGGUUUAAACCUUGUUCAGUUUUUUCAGCUAAUGAUUAUUGAACUUUUCUACCAUUCCAAGAAUAAAUAGAUGAAACAACAAGGCUGCAGAGAAACUUCUAAGCUGGGCGAAUACUCACCCCAUGCAAUACGGGUUAGUCAACACAACGGUUGAGAUUUUUCAUCUUUUCUUCUCAGUCUCUUUACCUUCACACGGACUAUGGUGCCUUGAGUUCAUGACUGGAAGAUACGAGUGCUAAGUAGGUAACAGUGAUCACCAACUUGCUGCAAGCAUUCUGCAGAGAACUCAAGAAGAUCAAGAUUAAGUAUUUUAUGAGAAAGUCAAGACAACACUUAACUGAGGCACCAAAGAAAAUAGUGAAAUGCUUAAUAUGACGCCAUCCAAAUUGUACUUUAAGGUGUUCCUGAGUUAUUCCUAAGGCAACAUUUGAAUGUGUUUUUAUGCGGCUGCAAAUUUAGAGAGAUAUUUGAAGAAUGCAUGAGGUAUGCCGGGCCUGAGGUGUGGCGUGUGUCCAACGUGUGUCCACAAACACUGCCGUGAUUGUGUGUGUGGCCCCUUUGAAAUAAGCCUGUUAAACCCUUUCUACCCCAAAUAGCAUUGACAAAAGCAGGUGUCGUGCAAGUGGGUCAUGUGGUGGCUCAAAGGAACCCCAUGCCAGUUGUUCGGUAUUCUUUCCCAGUAUGGUCCCCAUCCCCCCAUUAUAAAUAACCUCCAUCUAUCCACGUCCUCCCUCCCUUACAGCUUUGUUAGGAAUAGUUGCUGUCAAGAGCACACAAAUCGCUGAGAUGCCAGCCCAGGUGAUUGAGGAUUAAGUCCUCUUGUUUCACCAGUGAGUUGAGUUGCAGAUAAUCAACGACCUCUGCCCAACCUCUGACUGAGUGUCCCUGAUUGUAAUGCCAUGCCAGUAAUGCGGAAUUGAUUUACUUUCCAGGCAUGUCCAGUGUCACCAUGGGCUUACUGAUAUAGAACACAAGACACAAUGGCGUGUGCUGGUCUGACCCUAUUUGGUGCUGGCCUCGCUGAGCUAAUUUAGAACAAUGGGGGAGGAGUGUUCGAGUUCCAUCGUCAAAAUGGAGGCUGUCGCUCUCAAACUUGUACACAAACAACAACAAAAAAAAUUUACUGAGAUUAAUGUGAAUACAAUACAAGUGAAUUAAUUAAAAUUGAAUUAUUAAAUUAAUAUAAUGGUUAUAGAACAUGUUAAUUAAAUAAUUAAUUCCCCCCACCCCAGAGAAAAGAACUAACCUGAAUAAGAGGAUUGGUUAAGCCAGCAAGACAGUCCAAUACAGCAAAUAUUAAAGUCUCAGGAUUAAGAGUGACAUACUAGAGGAACCUCUUUGGUCACAGAAUUCAAAGGAUGAAGAUGAUGUAGGAAGACCUAAAUGAGAUGUGUCAGCUCAGCAAUGCUAACAGACAGCUAAAGCACAACUAGCUCAAUAAAAGCACAACCAGCUCAAGACAGCUAAAGCACAACUAGCUCAAUACCCAUCAAAGAGGUCAUUUCUCCACCUUAACCACAAUUUUAGAGUAACAUGAUAUCAGCUUUAAUGUCAACAAAAGCGUAUUGCCUAAAAUCAAGAAACCAAUCCAGUACCAAAAUGUCUGUCUUCUUUUUAUCUUAUUUAAUAAUUAAGUGAGACACCUGAAGGCCAAGAAAUAAGAAGAAAGGAAAUUGAGCUCAAUGAUUCUCUGCAUCAUUGUGACGAUCUCAGUAACAGAUCCCCAUAACAUCUUUCUGGCUCCUGAACUGGAAAAGCUCCAAAAAGUAAUUUAAAUCAUUUGGACAAAUGUGCAAAGCCUCUUGGAAUCUGCUGAGAGUGAAUAUGUUAUAAGCACAAAUGAGAAACAAAGCUAGUACACUAAUACCACACAGAGAUGUAAUAAAGACAGUACUGGUCUGUCUUUGCACUGAUGGUUGAUUCUGUGCUGCUGAACCAGAAAAAGAAGCUGGAAAGUGAUAUCUUGAUGCUGGCAGUGAUGCAAGGAUCUCUGCAAUGCUUAAGAGAAGGUCAAGGAGCCCUACAAGCUAAAGAGUUAGUGUGUAGUGUCUCAUUUUAAAGCAUUAUGUCAUGCUUGCAUAUUACAACAUCAAGGCAAGCAUAAACCAUGUUUGUCCAGAUUGCUGCACAAGUGCAGGCUGCUUCCAGAGUGCAAAAGUUGGAAAGAAGGGGCACUAUCAACGUAACCUGGUUUAUAAGGCCCCACCACAACGUAUAGGAGAGCAGUCAUGGACAAUUAUUGAGCCAACAGACUGUGCCUUUGCACGAGAGACACGUCAUCCAGCCAUGAGUGUUUCUUUAUUUACAGCAAGUGAUUUCACACCAUGAAGAAGCAUGUUCCAUGUUAAAGGUUAGCUUUACACACUGCUGUGGGGUAGGAUUUUCAAUAUGGAGUUUACUUGUUAGCAAAUCUAGACACAAAAAAGUGGAGUGGAGACUCAGAAAGCCUGUUUAUACACUGAAAAGUGGGACUGGGCUUAAUUAACAAUUGUUAAAUUAAUAUUACUGACAAGUACAUAAUAAAAUUUACUAACUGCAUUCUGGAGUCAAAUCAACCUGAUUUAAACAAAUGCUGAUUAUUUCUUAAUUCAAUUUCAAGUUAAUUUUUUGUCAGUUUAAAUCAGCGAGGAAAAAAUGGGGAAAUUUUAAGUUAAUUUUUCUGGCCAUGUCACAACUGAAGAAAUUUUGUAAAUUUUACUCAUUUAGAGAGACUAGAUUCUACUGCCAUGCAAUUUCCGCCCAAGUUUUUAAAUCCAGACAAGGUGCCACAUGUUGCAGUAUCUAGCUUUUUUCUUAAGGUGAGAUUUGUUUAGUUGUUCAAAUAAUUUUGUAGCAGUUAAAUUUUUUACAGACAGUUGUGAAAUAUACAAAUUGUAUUGUGUGGUUAAAUUUAGUUAAGCUAUUUCCUCUCAGUCUGCUGUUUUUAUUUGGCUAAAAGUCAGGCUCAGCAUGGUAGUUAGUUCAGUGUGUGAAUUUUCUCACAAUGUGCGUUAUAUAGUAUAUUAUAUUCUUUAAAGAGGCAGCCGGGCUAAAGACUUAAAAAUUUACCUUUUGUGUUUUGAAUUGAGCUUAAUAUAAAAUAUUAAAUUAAAAGGGAGACGUGUAGUAACAAAAUAUUGUACGUUUCUUUAUGAUGAAUAUGGCCCACCUUUGUAAUAGGCUCAUAAUGCUGUUUGCUAGUUUUAAUGUUAAAAACUCUUGAUGUUUCAGACGAAAUAUAUUUGGCAGUAUAUUCUUUUUUGAUACACAAAGUAUACAGUUACUGUCCAUUUUACCAGCUUCUGAUGCUGCAAAAAUGUUGGACAAUGUUUAUAGUG